AAACCAACAGGGAUUGCCUUAGUAACGGCGAGUGAAGCGGCAAGAGCUCAAAUUUGAAAUCUGGCGUCUUUGGCGUCCGAGUUGUAAUUUGUAGAGGUAUCUUUGGAGGCGGCCCUUGCAUAUGUUCCUUGGAACAGGACAUCAUAGAGGGUGAGAAUCCCGUACAUGGUGGGGUGCCCGUCUCUUUGUAAAGUGCCUUCGACGAGUCGAGUUGUUUGGGAAUGCAGCUCUAAGUGGGUGGUAAAUUCCAUCUAAAGCUAAAUAUUGGCGAGAGACCGAUAGCGAACAAGUACAGUGAUGGAAAGAUGAAAAGAACUUUGAAAAGAGAGUGAAAAAGUACGUGAAAUUGUUGAAAGGGAAGCGUUUGAGACCAGACACGGUAGUUUGAUGAUCGGGGUUCUUCGUGGACCCUGCUAUCGCUUUCUACUGGCCAACAUUGGUUUGGAUGGCGGGAUAAUGGCAUAGGAAUGUGGCUCUUCGGAGUGUUAUAGCCUGUGUUGAUACCGCCCGUCUGGACUGAGGUUCUUCAUUGAACGUUGGCGUAAUGGUCUUAAGCGGC
RNAcentral lists this ribosomal RNA (559 nucleotides) under Trigonopsis vinaria. RNAcentral describes it as "eukaryotic LSU rRNA". It matches the Rfam family "Eukaryotic large subunit ribosomal RNA", at positions 62 to 648 of the family's 3401-position model. The record is from RNAcentral. Lineage: Eukaryota; Fungi; Ascomycota; Trigonopsidomycetes; Trigonopsidales; Trigonopsidaceae.